UACGUAGGGUGCAAGCGUUGUCCGGAAUUAUUGGGCGUAAAGAGCUCGUAGGCGGUUUGUUGCGUCGGCUGUGAAAUCCCGAGGCUCAACCUCGGGUCUGCAGUCGAUACGGGCAGGCUAGAGUUCGGCAGGGGAGACUGGAAUUCCUGGUGUAGCGGUGAAAUGCGCAGAUAUCAGGAGGAACACCGGUGGCGAAGGCGGGUCUCUGGGCCAUAACUGACGCUGAGGAGCGAAAGCGUGGGGAGCGAACAGG
This 253-nucleotide ribosomal RNA is filed under the name uncultured bacterium. RNAcentral's name for it is "partial 16S ribosomal RNA". It matches the Rfam family "Bacterial small subunit ribosomal RNA", at positions 524 to 776 of the family's 1533-position model. The record is from RNAcentral.